Molecule: ribosomal RNA, 253 nt
Filed under: uncultured bacterium
Lineage: Bacteria
Description: partial 16S ribosomal RNA
Rfam family: Bacterial small subunit ribosomal RNA
Source: RNAcentral
UACGUAGGGUGCAGGCGUUAAUCGGAAUUACUGGGCGUAAAGCGUGCGCAGGCGGUUUCUUAAGUCAGAUGUGAAAGCCCCGGGCUUAACCUUGGAACUGCGUUUGAAACUGGGAGACUUGAGUGUGGCAGAGGGGGGUGGAAUUCCACGUGUAGCAGUGAAAUGCGUAGAUAUGUGGAGGAACACCGAUGGCGAAGGCAGCCCCCUGGGCUAACACUGACGCUCAUGCACGAAAGCGUGGGGAGCAAACAGG